This 869-nucleotide ribosomal RNA is filed under the name Neoamphitrite affinis. RNAcentral describes it as "12S ribosomal RNA". Lineage: Eukaryota; Metazoa; Annelida; Polychaeta; Terebellida; Terebellidae. The record is from RNAcentral.
CACUAGUUUGAUUCUAACUAUAAUAUUAAUUUUAUCUAAAAAUAGAUACAUGCAAAAAUUUUUUCUCCCGUGAUUAAAUCAAUUUAUAUAAUUUUUGCUUAAAGCAUAAAAUAUAUUAUUACAAGGUUAAUUCUUAAUUUUAUUACAAUAUUUAAAUUAUUCUUUUUCACGCCUGCAGUACAUAAUACUAUAUAUAAAGAAAAUUUGAUAUGAUUUUAUGAUGAUUUAGGGUUGGUAAAAUUCGUGCCAGCUACCGCGGUUAAACGAUAAACCCAAAUUAAUACACCCGGAACCAAAUUAUAUGGUCCUAAAUAUUUUGAUAAAUAAUAUAAAUUAGAUAGGGGUAUAAUCCAAUUCACUAUAAUUUUCCUUGUAUUAUCAUUUUAAACCACCAUGAAAGCUUAGACCAAAACCAGGAUUAGAUACCCAAUUAUUCUAAACAAUAAAUAAAGUAACCAGGGUACUACUGUUACAUAACUAAAACCCAAAGAAAUUGGCGGCAUUCUAACGUCCCAGGGGAACCUGUUCUUUAAACGAUAAUCCACGAAAACCUUACUUUUUCUAGCUAUCAGCUUAUAUAUUGCCGUCGAUUUUAGUUAACCUUGUAAAAGAUAGUUAACCAAAAGGUAUUUCUACCUAUACGUCAGGUCAUAAUAUAGCCAAUGAAAAAGAAGCAAUGGGUUACAUUUAUACUAUAACAUAAUAUAAUCUUAAAAUUUUAUAUCAAGAAGGACUUGGAAGUAAAUUUUAAUUAACUUAACAAAAUUGAAUAUAGAAUCUAGAAUGAGCACAUAUCGCCCGUCGCCCUCACCGAAAGGGGAGGUAAGUCGUAACAUAGUAGGUGUAACGGAAGUUGCACCUAAAACCAA